This is a long non-coding RNA of Pongo pygmaeus (Bornean orangutan), 270 nucleotides long. RefSeq lists it as uncharacterized. The transcript has 2 exons. The record is from RefSeq and is a predicted model, not a curated record. Lineage: Eukaryota; Metazoa; Chordata; Mammalia; Primates; Hominidae.
UUCGGUUUAGGGAGAAGGGUUGAGGCUGCCUCUCUGGGCAUGAGGGGGGCUGGGCCCGGCCAGUCAGAACAGCUUGUGCCCAGGAUUUGGGGCUGGGGAGGAGGCGGAGGGACAGUGGAGUAACCACGAGGACGACCACGAGGAUGCUCUCGGGAAAUCGUCUAACAAACACCCCACCGUGAAGAAAGGACACAAAGGCCGAAGAAGACAUCCCACAGCCCCAGGGUUGCCAGGAAGACCAUGAAGACAUAAAACGCCAGGUUCCAGAGA